GCUUACUCCGGCGUCGCAGGCGUGGGUAGGCGGAGGGGGCAAGCGGUGGUCUGAAUUACUUGGCGUAAAGGGCGCGUAGGCGGUCGGCGAAGUGCGGCGUGAAAGCCCCCGGCUCAACGGGGGAAAUGCGUUGGAUACUGGCAGACUCGAGUACCGGAGAGGAGGGUGGAAUUCCUGGUGUAGCGGUGAAAUGCGUAGAUAUCAGGAGGAACACCGGUGGCGAAGGCGGCCCUCGGGACGGAUACUGACGCUGAGGCGCGAAAGCGUGGGGAUCAAACAGGAUUAGAUACCCGGGUAGUC
This 300-nucleotide ribosomal RNA is filed under the name uncultured Slackia sp. RNAcentral describes it as "bacterial SSU rRNA". It matches the Rfam family "Bacterial small subunit ribosomal RNA", at positions 496 to 795 of the family's 1533-position model. The record is from RNAcentral. Lineage: Bacteria; Bacillati; Actinomycetota; Coriobacteriia; Eggerthellales; Eggerthellaceae.